UGCGCGGAAAAUAGUUGAUAAAAACAUAGCCGCGGGCCUGAUCGAUGCAGUGAAACAGCGGGUUCCAAUCGAACAUGUUCAGCAUGAAGGGGGGCAGGGAAUUGGCCACAAACAUCUUGCCCGAUGCAAUCAUAUUGGCGCGCUG
Molecule: non-coding RNA, 145 nt
Filed under: marine eukaryotic metagenome
Description: Ruegeria cis2 sRNA
Rfam family: Ruegeria cis2 sRNA
About the family: Cis-encoded. Targets ABC transporter.
Source: RNAcentral